Molecule: long non-coding RNA, 1390 nt
Organism: Acanthopagrus latus (yellowfin seabream)
Lineage: Eukaryota; Metazoa; Chordata; Actinopteri; Spariformes; Sparidae
Exons: 3
Source: RefSeq, a predicted model, not a curated record
AUGGCAUCCCGUCAGAGCACUGCUAUCAGGGUCAGUGAAAAAAAGCUGAAAAAGUGGCUGAAACUUAAGGAACUACCAGUUAACCUUGAUAAUAUAUGCUGUGUGCGUUGACUUUCACAACGUACUUGAUAUCAGGCAGGUUCUUCCAGAAUUACCUCAACACCAGUUGAACGUCACAUGACUGCACCUCCCUGACAUUUCCAGUGUUUCUGGCGGGUCAUCCUCUGAUAGAGAUGGAGACUUUGCUGAGAAGGGUCUAGGUGUCAAAGAAGUCGGGGAGACUGAGGUUCAAGUUUUGGAAACAAGAUAAGUGGUUUUCACCAUUUAUGGCAAACUCUGGAGUGUACUGUCAGAGCUCUGACAGCAGUUGUGGUGACAGGACAGAACUUGAUAUUAUACUGUCGGGUGGGUAGGGUUGGUUAAUUCAAGUAAAUUAAUUCAUUCAAGAGUUAGACAAGGGGAAAAGUGUAUAUGUAUUUAUACACAUGUAUAUAUGUAAUGCCAUAUUUGUUUUUUGUUUUUUUCCCCCCCUUGGUAGUAUGUCAUUGCUGGGCAUAAACGAGGAGAUUGAUGAAAAUUAAUAUAACAACAUUCUGUGCUGACUGUCAUCGAGUAUUUAUUUAUUUUUUUUUUCUACAUAGCAUUGAUUGGACUGAGGAUAAAACAUGGCCUCCAGGUGACGACACAGGGGAUGUUUCAUAUUCAGAGGAAGAGGAAACCAUCGAGGGGGACAGCGAUGAGGAUGACAGUGACAAUGAUUACAUUCCCAAUUUAUGUGUACAGUGAGUGUUGAAGAAUCAUUCAAGUCCUGUUGAGUUGUUUGCUGUGGUGAUGUGUUUAUUCAAAGACUACCCAUAACCUGGUGAACUGACAGGCACACACAUUUAACACUGUGAUCAAACCAGGUCUAGACGUCCUUUGCGGGGCUUAUCUGCAGGGUUUAGGAGACAUGGAUCACCAUUUAGGUCUUGAGGUCAAAGGGCUUUUCCCAGAUGUCACUCCAAAUGUGUAUUUUCUUCCUCAGGUCCUAACUAAGGUAGAAUGACAAUUAUUAUCUUUUCUCAUUGUUUUAUCUAUUCAUAAAGCACUAGUGGUACCAUGCAAACUAGGAUAUGUUUGGGUGCCCUUCAGCCAAGCAUGGAAGACACUGUAACAGACACAGCAGACACAGAGCCAACUAAGCCACCAUUAUUGACAGACAGAAUUAUAGUCAACAUUGAGGAUGAGAUCACUGGUCAACCGGCAUCAAAUGCUUAUCAUCAAAUGCUUAUCAUGUCUGCCUGCAACAACUUCUACUGCCAAUUCCACUCUGCACAGUCUAUUACCCACUGACAUCUGUGGAAUGUCUGGCUCCUUGUCUAUUCAAGAUCCUGACAAGGUGCAGAGGAAC